AUUGAACGCUGGCGGAAUGCUUUACACAUGCAAGUCGAACGGCAGCACGGGGGCAACCCUGGUGGCGAGUGGCGAACGGGUGAGUAAUACAUCGGAACGUACCCGGUCGUGGGGGAUAACGUAGCGAAAGUUACGCUAAUACCGCAUACGAUCUGAGGAUGAAAGCGGGCGACCUUCGGGCCUCGCGCGAUCGGAGCGGCCGAUGUCAGAUUAGGUAGUUGGUGGGGUAAAGGCCUACCAAGCCGACGAUCUGUAGCUGGUCUGAGAGGACGACCAGCCACACUGGGACUGAGACACGGCCCAGACUCCUACGGGAGGCAGCAGUGGGGAAUUUUGGACAAUGGGCGCAAGCCUGAUCCAGCCAUUCCGCGUGCAGGACGAAGGCCUUCGGGUUGUAAACUGCUUUUGUAUGGAACGAAAAGGCUCUGGCUAAUACCUGGGGCUCAUGACGGUACCGUAAGAAUAAGCACCGGCUAACUACGUG
RNAcentral lists this ribosomal RNA (484 nucleotides) under uncultured bacterium. Its description in RNAcentral is "partial 16S ribosomal RNA". It matches the Rfam family "Bacterial small subunit ribosomal RNA", at positions 30 to 507 of the family's 1533-position model. The record is from RNAcentral.